This 771-nucleotide ribosomal RNA is filed under the name uncultured bacterium. Its description in RNAcentral is "bacterial SSU rRNA". It matches the Rfam family "Bacterial small subunit ribosomal RNA", at positions 8 to 796 of the family's 1533-position model. The record is from RNAcentral.
AGAGUUUGAUCCUGGCUCAGGACGAACGCUGGCGGCGUGCUUAACACAUGCAAGUCGAACGGAGAGGCCCUUCGGGGUACUCGAGUGGCGAACGGGUGAGUAACACGUGGGUGAUCUGCCCUGCACGUUGGGAUAAGCCUGGGAAACUGGGUCUAAUACCGAAUAUGACCAUGCACUUCCUGGUGUGUGGUGGAAAGCUUUUGCGGUGUGGGAUGGGCCCGCGGCCUAUCAGCUUGUUGGUGGGGUAAUGGCCUACCAAGGCGACGACGGGUAGCCGGCCUGAGAGGGUGACCGGCCACACUGGGACUGAGAUACGGCCCAGACUCCUACGGGAGGCAGCAGUGGGGAAUAUUGCACAAUGGGCGCAAGCCUGAUGCAGCGACGCCGCGUGAGGGAUGACGGCCUUCGGGUUGUAAACCUCUUUCAGCACAGACGAAGCGCAAGUGACGGUAUGUGCAGAAGAAGGACCGGCCAACUACGUGCCAGCAGCCGCGGUAAUACGUAGGGUCCGAGCGUUGUCCGGAAUUACUGGGCGUAAAGAGCUCGUAGGUGGUUUGUCGCGUUGUUCGUGAAAACUCACAGCUUAACUGUGGGCGUGCGGGCGAUACGGGCAGACUUGAGUACUGCAGGGGAGACUGGAAUUCCUGGUGUAGCGGUGGAAUGCGCAGAUAUCAGGAGGAACACCGGUGGCGAAGGCGGGUCUCUGGGCAGUAACUGACGCUGAGGAGCGAAAGCGUGGGGAGCGAACAGGAUUAGAUACCCUGGUAGUCC